UGCUAACGCGUGAAGGCGAGCACUCUAGACGAACUGCCGUUGACAAAACGGAGGAAGGUGGGGAUGACGUCAAAUCAUCAUGCCCCUUAUGUUCUGGGCUACACACGUGCUACAAUGGCCGGUACAGACGGACGCAAAGCCGCGAGGUGGAGCAAAUCCUAAAAAGCCGGUCUCAGUUCGGAUUGCAGGCUGCAAUUCGCCUGCAUGAAGUCGGAAUCGCUAGUAAUCGCAGGUCAGCAUACUGCGGUGAAUACGUUCCCGGGCCUU
This 267-nucleotide ribosomal RNA is filed under the name uncultured Bacillus sp. RNAcentral describes it as "partial 16S ribosomal RNA". It matches the Rfam family "Bacterial small subunit ribosomal RNA", at positions 1116 to 1382 of the family's 1533-position model. Lineage: Bacteria; Bacillati; Bacillota; Bacilli; Caryophanales; Bacillaceae. The record is from RNAcentral.